AAUAGUCUAAUAUAUAUUGACACGUACACGUCACGUCCUUUCUGGAACAUUCUUCCAAACGGCGUGGUCAUUGAACUUGGUGCAGCAUCAAUUCUAUCCAUAUCACUUUAAAAUAUGCCGAAAACCAAAUCAAAAAGGGGGCACCUAGAUCCACGACGUCGGACCAUUCUCAGCAUGCUCAGGCAGUACAGACAGGGCGUAAUCGCAGGACACGGAGGAGCAAUGAUGCUGACCCCAGUGUAGCACAUGGCGGAGUCCAGCCACAGAUACCCGUGGUCCAACCCAAUGAGCACUUUCAACCCCCACAGCGGGUGCAGCCUUGGGUAGAAUUAACGCCGAGUACAGCCUAUCUGAAUCAUGGAACAAAACUUGGACGUGGACGAGAUAUGGCGAGCAUUGAAGCCUUGGGGCCGUUACCAAGUUAAACAGAUGUUGUUCAUGUGGGCUGCUCAGAUCCCCUGCGCCUUCCAUCUCCUUGCGGUUGUCUUUAUAGGAUUUCAACCUAAAUCUGAAUGUGCCGAUGUAUCACUACCCGACAAUGACAUCCGGAACGCAUCGGUAUCUAGUGUGACGUAUGGUGCAUGCUCAGUGACGAUAUUUUCUAACCAAUCAAAUUCUUCGAGCACCAUCACAUCCUGCCCCAAUGGUUACAGAUAUGAUGAACACGAUAAAAUAUCUUUCGCAACUGAGUGGGGACUUCUCUGUGGCGAGUCGACAAAGGUUGAUCUUUCACAGUCUCUCAUGCUCUUGGGGCAAGGACUGGGCGGAUUUUUAUGCACUGUAAUCUCUGAUAAAUUAGGAAGAAAACCAGUCCAUAUCGUCUCCCAUAUCUCCAUCUUCAUUCUGUGCCUUACCACAUCCUUCAUCCCAUCGUACGUGGGAUUUGCCAUCCUAAGAUUCUUCACAGGAGUCGCUAUUGAGGGGUUAAUGUUGUCCAGUAUUACCAUGUAUGUGGAGACACUUCCGGAGGAGUGGCGAUUCUGCUCAGAAGUGAUGGGUUUAGUUUGGUGGACCACGGGUAUCGUACUUCUGACGCCCUUAGCCUUACUUAUGCAGAACUACUCUUGGAGAUACUUACAGCUUCUUUUGUCUCUGCUAUCUGUGUAUAGCCUUGCAGAAUACUGGCUAUUUGAUGAAUCCCUGAGAUGGCUUAUGGCCAAUGGUCGUUUGGAAGAGGCAGAGAAAGUGCUUCGAAAGGCCGCUGAAAUGAACAAAAAGACAUUUGAUAAUAUCAUAGGUGAUGUCAAAAAGAAAAUGGCAGAAUUGGAAACGCUAGAUGGUGGUCUCGAGAAAACGGAGAUCCUUUUUACAGAGCCAGAUGUGGUCAUUGUUGCUUACAAUCCGAGGAAUACGGACGUGAUAAAAUACUCAAUGUUAACCAUUUUGAAAGAUCGAAUGAUUCUCCUUAACUCCGUCAUAAUUUGGUUUAUCUGGGUGACGAACAGUCUCACGUAUUACGGACUCAGUCUAAUGUCCACUACUUUGUAUGGGAACCGCUUCCUCAACUUUUUCUUUCUCGGAGCUAUGGAAUACUUGUCCGCUCUUGCCGAAUUUUCUCUGUUAAAUAGAAUUGGUCGAAGAAAAACUCUUUUCUUUCUUCUUGGGACUGCGGGAGUGUCCCUCCUAGUAGCCACUAUAAUGUUCAUGUUCAAAGGUGAGAGCUCUGUAUUAGGUCAUCUGUACAUGUUCUUCGUGUUGGUUGGAAAAUUUGGAAUUUCAGGGUCGUUCAGUUCCUCGUUUUUGUACACAUCCGAACUGUAUCCCACCAAUAUGAGAUAUUUUCCACAAUCCCAUCUGCUGAUGACGUAUACCGGGCAAUUGCCUCCGAGUGAAAGCAGCUGGUCAUGUCUGACUGCAAAGGAUAUCAAUAUGAGCCCGAGUUUAAUGAAGAGGAAUUAUUGGCAGCUUCAAAUGAAAACACUAGUGAUUUGGAAUGGAUUGAUGAAAAUGACAGGAGAAAUGAUAAAAAUUGGUGCUCUUGUGGACAUUGUGGUAUUCUUUCAAGUCGCAGAGAAUGUACAUGUUGUAAGGAGUUUGAACAUUAUGCUGAAAAUUACAUAUCUUCUGUAUGUCCAUGCAUUUCACAACACAGUGACUUUGACAUGGUGUGUCAAAAUAAAACAGUGUUGGAAACAGCAUACGUUGCAUUUAUGCGGUAUAUACGACAAAAAGGACGGGCUCCACAGGUGUUGACUAAUAAGCAGUCAAGGCUUAUGGCAUACAGGCAAUUCAUUUGUUGGGUAAGGAGGGGACAGCCUUUAGGGAGAAAGAAUCGAGUGGUGUUACCUGCAUGUGUAGUCACAAAGAUUAGAGAAACUUUCCCAGGAAUGCUGGAUAUGGGCUCUCCUCUAUUUUUACCAGAAUUGGUGGAGUAAUAGCUCCGUUCAUGAAUACCUUUUACAAUUACGUGUCGUGGGGACCCGGUGUGGUAUUCAGCGCCAUGUGUUUCAUAUCCG
Ostrea edulis (European flat oyster) is the source of this 2456-nucleotide RNA transcript. It is a transcript of the gene named organic cation transporter protein-like, with no coding region annotated. Lineage: Eukaryota; Metazoa; Mollusca; Bivalvia; Ostreida; Ostreidae. The record is from RefSeq and is a predicted model, not a curated record. The transcript is spliced from 13 exons.